GANCUGGCUCAGAUUGAACGCUGGCGGCAUGCUUUACACAUGCAAGUCGGACGGCAGCACAGAGAAGCUUGCUUCUUGGGUGGCGAGUGGCGAACGGGUGAGUAAUAUAUCGGAACGUACCGAGUAAUGGGGGAUAACUAAUCGAAAGAUUAGCUAAUACCGCAUAUUCUCUGAGGAGGAAAGCAGGGGACCUUCGGGCCUUGCGUUAUUCGAGCGGCCGAUAUCUGAUUAG
Molecule: ribosomal RNA, 232 nt
Filed under: uncultured bacterium
Lineage: Bacteria
Description: partial 16S ribosomal RNA
Rfam family: Bacterial small subunit ribosomal RNA
Source: RNAcentral